Molecule: ribosomal RNA, 450 nt
Filed under: uncultured bacterium
Lineage: Bacteria
Description: partial 16S ribosomal RNA
Rfam family: Bacterial small subunit ribosomal RNA
Source: RNAcentral
GUGGGGAAUCUUCCGCAAUGGACGAAAGUCUGACGGAGCGACGCCGCGUGAGUGAAGAAGGCCUUCGGGUCGUAAAGCUCUGUCAUCAGGGACGAACGGCCGGUGGAGUGGAAAGCCACCGGAUUGACGGUACCUGAGAAGGAAGCCACGGCUAACUACGUGCCAGCAGCCGCGGUAAUACGUAGGUGGCAAGCGUUGUCCGGAAUUAUUGGGCGUAAAGCGCGCGCAGGUGGGAUCUUAAGUCCAUUUUGAAAGUUCGGAGCUCAACUCCGUGAUGGGAUGGAAACUGGGAUUCUUGAGUACCGGAGAGGAAAGCGGAAUUCCCCGUGUAGCGGUGAAAUGCGUAGAUAUGGGGAGGAACACCAGUGGCGAAGGCGGCUUCCUGGCACAAUACUGACGCUCAUGUGCGAAAGCUAGGGCAGCGAACGGGAUUAGAUACCCUAGUAGUCC